RNAcentral lists this ribosomal RNA (506 nucleotides) under uncultured bacterium. RNAcentral's name for it is "bacterial SSU rRNA". It matches the Rfam family "Bacterial small subunit ribosomal RNA", at positions 29 to 524 of the family's 1533-position model. The record is from RNAcentral.
AACGAACGCUGGCGGCGUGGAUAAGACAUGCAAGUCGAACGGGAUCAUUGAGGUAGCAAUAUCGCGAUGGUCUAGUGGCGAACGGGUGCGUAACACGUGGAUACAUUCCGGGAAGCGAGGGAUAGCCCAGGGAAACUUGGAUUAAUACCGCAUGUGGUCGAAAGACUAAAGGCAGGGACCGCAAGGCCUGCCACUUCCCGAUUGGUCCGCGGCCUAUCAGCUAGUUGGCGGGGUAAAAGCCCACCAAGGCUACGACGGGUAGCUGGUCUUAGAGGACGACCAGCCACACUGGAACUGAGACACGGUCCAGACACCUACGGGUGGCAGCAGUCGAGAAUCUUUCACAAUGGGGGCAACCCUGAUGGAGCGACGCCGCGUGGAGGAUAAGGGUCUUCGGAUUGUAAACUCCUGUCAUGUGUGAACAAACCUGGUGGUUGAACAAACUACCAGCUGAUAGUAGCAGAAGAGGAAGGGACGGCUAACUCUGUGCCAGCAGCCGCGGUAAU